RNAcentral lists this ribosomal RNA (497 nucleotides) under uncultured bacterium. RNAcentral's name for it is "partial 16S ribosomal RNA". It matches the Rfam family "Bacterial small subunit ribosomal RNA", at positions 28 to 507 of the family's 1533-position model. The record is from RNAcentral.
GAUGAACGCUGGCGGCGUGCCUAAUACAUGCAAGUCGAGCGAACAGACGAGGAGCUUGCUCCUCUGACGUUAGCGGCGGACGGGUGAGUAACACGUGGAUAACCUACCUAUAAGACUGGGAUAACUUCGGGAAACCGGAGCUAAUACCGGAUAAUAUAUUUAACCGCAUGGUUCAAUAGUGAAAGACGGAUUUGCUGUCACUUAUAGAUAGAUCCGCUCCGCAUUAGCUAGUUGGUAAGGUAACGGCUUACCAAGGCAACGAUGCGUAGCCGACCUGAGAGGGGGAUCGGCCAAAUGGGAACGGAGCCACGGCCCAGACUCCUACGGGAGGAAGCAGUAGGGAACCUUCCGCAAUGGGCGAAAGCCUGACGGAGAAACGCCGCGUGAGUGAUGAAGGUCUUCGGAUCGUAAAACUCUGUUAUUAGGGAAGAAGAAAUGUGUAAGUAAAUAUGCACGUAUUGACGGUACCUAAUCAGAAAGCCACGGCUAACUACGUG